UUGUGUCCACCGCAGGUCGAAACAGCGGUUCCCGUAAGAUCACUGAAGUUAAGCAACGCCGAGCCUGGUGAGUACCUAGAGGCUGACCGCUAGGGAAUACCAAGUACU
Acanthosepion pharaonis is the source of this 108-nucleotide non-coding RNA. NCBI's taxonomy places the organism in Eukaryota, Metazoa, Mollusca, Cephalopoda, Sepiida, Sepiidae. The record is from the annotation of a GenBank genome assembly.